RNAcentral lists this ribosomal RNA (497 nucleotides) under uncultured bacterium. RNAcentral describes it as "partial 16S ribosomal RNA". It matches the Rfam family "Bacterial small subunit ribosomal RNA", at positions 28 to 507 of the family's 1533-position model. The record is from RNAcentral.
GAUGAACGCUGGCGGCGUGCCUAAUACAUGCAAGUCGAGCGAACAGACGAGGAGCUUGCUCCUUUGACGUUAGCGGCGGACGGGUGAGUAACACGUAGGUAACCUACCUAUAAGACUGGGAUAACUUCGGGAAACCGGAGCUAAUACCGGAUAAUAUUUUGAACCGCAUGGUUCGAUAGUGAAAGACGGCUUUGCUAUCACUUAUAGAUGGACCUGCGCCGUAUUAGCUAGUUGGUAAGGUAACGGCUUACCAAGGCAACGAUGCGUAGCCGACCUGGGAGGGUGAUCGGCCACACUGGAGCUGAGACACGGUCCAGACUCCUACGGGAGGCAGCAGUAGGGAAUCUUCCGCAAUGGGCGAAAGCCUGACGGAGCAACGCCGCGUGAGUGAUGAAGGUCUUCGGAUCGUAAAACUCUGUUAUUAGGGAAGAACAAACGUGUAAGUAACUGUGCACGUCUUGACGGUACCUAAUCAGAAAGCCACGGCUAACUACGUG